This 500-nucleotide ribosomal RNA is filed under the name uncultured bacterium. Its description in RNAcentral is "partial 16S ribosomal RNA". It matches the Rfam family "Bacterial small subunit ribosomal RNA", at positions 30 to 523 of the family's 1533-position model. The record is from RNAcentral.
AUUGAACGCUGGCGGAAUGCUUUACACAUGCAAGUCGAACGGCAGCACGGACUUCGGUCUGGUGGCGAGUGGCGAACGGGUGAGUAAUGUAUCGGAACGUGCCCAGUCGUGGGGGAUAACGUAGUGAAAAUUACGCUAAUACCGCAUACGAUCUAUGGAUGAAAGCGGGGGAUCGCAAGACCUCGCGCGAUUGGAGCGGCCGAUAUCAGAUUAGGUAGUUGGUGGGGUAAAGGCCCACCAAGCCAACGAUCUGUAGCUGGUCUGAGAGGACGACCAGCCACACUGGAACUGAGACACGGUCCAGACUCCUACGGGAGGCAGCAGUGGGGAAUUUUGGACAAUGUGCGAAAGCCUGAUCCAGCCAUUCCGCGUGCAGUAUGAAGGCCCUCGGGUUGUAAACUGCUUUUGUACAGAACGAAAAGGUUUCUACUAAUACUAGGAGCUCAUGACGGUACUGUAAGAAUAAGCACCGGCUAACUACGUGCCAGCCGCCGCGGUAA